CGCUCCACCGUUUGCGGAAGCAGUGUUCUUUCAUCGACGGCCAACAGCCAUUGUUCUCCAAACCGACGCCAUUUUUAUUAGCGUGGAAUAUACCGCGCCUGGGCCACCUUGAGCGAUUAUUAAAAAUAGUGAUCAGCGAAAAUAAGAGCUUUCUAAAUUAUUAAAGAAUGCGAAGGUAAAGGAACCAACUUGGAAGCACAGCGAAAGGUCAGAGUUGCGAGGCGAAGAAUAGUAUGGUUUUCGACGCUUCUAUUAAUGAAACUCGAUGGAAUGAGUCGAUGGUACUUUAAGCGUCGCGACGGUGACCCACGCCAGCCGAUAUUGAAUUAUCUUUCGACGAAAUGACGGGGAUCACACCGAUAGACGGAAGUUUAUCGCGGAAAGAGGACCGCGUACAGAGCGUUUCAGCUCGUUAUCUUCGCUCGUUUAUUUGUAUCCUGUCGAACGUAUAAUAACUUGUAUCUUUCAACGUUUCCUACGGUGUGCCGUGGACACCGUCCCGAUAAUCGUCCGGUUUUAUUACGCUCUCAACGAGACGGACUCUCGAGAGCGGGAUUAUAACCGUAGGAACGUACGCGUGAAACGAUACUCGGCCAAUUGGCCGUCUAAGCCGCGUUAAUUGCACCUGUUCUAGACAUCGGCAGAUAUGUAACCGUGCACAACUGUCAAUGUCGAGAUCGGGUGAUGGCUACUCCGACGAAAUUCUACGCGUUUACUCUUUUAUUCUCUUUCGAAAUCGAACGGCCACCGUAAAAAAUGCUCGGCUUGUCCGAUGGCGAGUGAAAAUCACAGCCGGGAUUUUAUGGGGACAGCGGGCAUCGCUUUAUGGCGCGUCGCGACGCCGAUCGAUUCCAUAACGCGUUCCUUUUGUCUUCUUUGUCUGUGAUAAAUUUAUAAAACGCACUUUUUCUUUCUCGUUGCGAACGUCUCCGGUAACGCCUACGAAUCGUAUCAUCGUGCUGCGACAUCGUUGUUCUCGAUCGCGCCUUUGAGAACACGUUGACACUUUAUACUUUAUACUAAUCGUUCGUUAAUCAGUCACGCAGGCGAUCGAAGUUCCUCUUUAACGGGAGCAGCGGUUUUCUGUGAAAUUCGAGGAAACGAGAUUAAUUAAAGUGCAGGUCGCCCGGUGGUUGGUAUCGACGGUACUGACCUGAGCCACUGUGCAGCUAGACGAGGGCUAGUUUGAUAUGUGUGCGAGAAGGAGAAGGAAGAGAGAGAAAAAAGAGAGAGAGAGAGAGAGUGAUAAUGAGAGAAGGAGAGAGAGAUAGAGAGCGAGCGAGAGAGCUGUGUGCCCGUGACGCGGUUGGAAAUCGUGGCAUUGCACGUUGCACCGGUUUGCAGCGAGGCGUUGCACGCGCACAGGCCACACGCAACGCACAAGGCUUGCGCCAGACAGUCUGUUGCACAACUUAGGUAUUGAUCUUGCCCGGAACUAGUUUCCGUUUCCGUGUUCAGCCCGUCUUCAUCGUCUUUCCGUGAAAACAACCGUCGCACCACCGAUCCAGGAUCGAUCUAGAAUCGCCGAUUCAAUCUUCCAAAGCUUCCACAUGGUCAAGCUUGGAGCUCCGGUAGUCUGCUCUUCGAACAAAUAUUAAACUCUAAAUUAACUUCAACUUCUAUGGAUGACUCGUUUAGGUCAAAGAGCAAGGUACUCUGGUCACCGAGCGAGAACCAUUUUUAAUGGAAAAUUCAAACUACCAACGUUUAACGUACUUGGGUUACCAUCGAGCUAGCAUACUCAGCAGUUCGAGCAGGCUGUUGAUGAUUUCAAUGGCAACCGCCCGACGCAGAGAACUAGGAACUGUUUUCGACCGACGCGGCGACACACAGGGUUUAGAGCGGAGCGGGUUGGAGCGGAGCGACGAACAAUCGCGCUGCAACAGCGAGCGCGAGUGCAUUGCACCGCUGAGACAAGCAAAAGUAUAAGAGCUUUUAUUGUUGUUAGAAGAGGAAUAAACGGUAGAAAACUGCGCCUUUUAGUUGCUAACAAUCGGGGACGGAUAAGUUAUCGCUCGCCGAACAACAAUGAUUGCCGCAGCGGUUAGAAUUCAGUGAAUCCUCAAAGAUGAAAUGGUCGCAAUUAACAGAAAUAAAUGAUAUUUACUGAUUCAGAUUGUGGAACACGAGAAAUCGUUGUAUAUUAUGCGUUUCGUUGAAGGAGAGAGGGAGAGAUAGAGAGAGCGAGAGAGCGAGAGAGAGAGAGAGAGAGAGAGAGAGAGAGAGAGAAACACCGUUGACUGUGCACGGACCUGUCAAAAUCUGCGCAUGCGCGGUGCGAGGCGACGCAACAACAGGGGAUGUCAUUGACCCCAGCCGUAUGUAUUCAGCGAGAGAGGUUAAGGUUAAUUUUAUCGCUGGAUGGCGAAAAAUACUUCCUUCCUCUACUCACCAACCGGGAUUUUGUCUGCGAAAAUCACUGCGAGAGGAUCGAGGACUGUUUCCAUCGACGAGAAACAGUCCGAUCUGCUCUUGAACCUAAUCGCUCCGUAAAUAACGCGUAAAUACGCCUGAUAAUUCGAGGCCAGUCCCGGUUCACAGAACGAUACGAACACCACUCCGUUAUCGCGAUUGUUCCUCCACGACAAGUACGUCCAUUUUUUGCGCGCCAAACUGAUUUUUUCCACCGUAUCCCCCCUCCCUUUGAGGUUAGGUAUGAAUAUGCAGAUUUACAUGCUAAACAUAUUUUGCUUGAAACUUGCAGGAACAUGCGAAUAGGGAAGGAAACAUAGGCAAGAAAGAACGACUAGGAAAAAUAAAGUAUUGAUUUCCCUUUUAUUCUACAAAAAUGUACAGUGUGACGCUAUCGAGAACAAUAUAUGUAGCGAGCACCUACGUUUGCUGAGAGAUAAACGUAAUUUACCAAAGAGAAUGCGAAGCUAGCUGGCAGGAACUUAGGGCCAAGAAAGUAGCCAGUUGUGGCCCCAGGGCCUAGGUUUAGAAAAACUGGAAAAAUAUUCGCGGUCGAUACCACGUGCUGUACAACGCUAGGAUAGAUGGGUAAUGAAAUUUACACCGAUCGUUUAUUAUCGAAGCCGGAGCGUUUCCCGAUGCCGCGACGACCGCAGGGAAUGGAAAACGAUAUCGCGAAACAUCGACCGCAGAGACCCGCUGUCAGGAUGAUUCGAGGCGACGGAAAAAUGGGAAAUGGAUGCCUUGUUAAUCCCCGAUGAUUCGUUUCGAGCCCUGGGUCGAUAGCAGCCAAUCUACUCUACGUUUAUCGUUACUCUCGACUAUUAUACGGUACAGUCGCAUUUUUGCAAGGAUAAUUGACUUGAAAACGCAAGGACCACCAAACACGGGAGACUCGGGUGACUAUUUUGGAUGUUUAUUGUAAAAUUCUGUCGCGAUAUCGCCAUUAACUAUGACUUACCUCGAGGACGCUACGGCAGAAGUUCCCCGAAGCUCUACGAAUCGCAUCAGGUAUCCUGAGGUAUCCACGGAGCUCCUGAAAGCCACAGGACACUACGAGGACACUGCACACUAUCACAAAUCGCGGCACACGAUGCACAGUAGCAGCAGCAGUAGCAACAGUAGCAGUAGCAGUAGCAACAAGGGAGAAACGGUAAAACCCGUGUGUAGUCGUAUGAAUCCGGGGAGGCACUGCCACUUGGCCGUCGAGAGCUUCACUUCGGCUACGUGUAGUUCCUCCUUGGGCAUCCUCGCGUAUACAGCCUCGCGUCACGAUAGGGCAGACGACAGCUCAGAAAAUUCACCGGUGUGCUUUCCGGGAUAGCCUUGAGAAAAAUGAGCCUGUUCGAGAGUGGAGAGGGUCGCGCGGGGGUAGGAGAGAGAAAGGAGUGUACGAAAGAGAGAGAGGAGAGGAGGGGGAGGGAACAGUUUCUUUUCGGGGGAGAAUGCAGCCGAGAAUUGAUAGGUGGCGGAGGAGAGCUUGGGCGGGCAGCGAUUGGAUCGGAGGUGGGUCGAGGGGCAGGCCGGGGCUCUCGAAAGGGCAAAGAACUCGACCGGCUGGAGCGCGUUCGAGGCCCGAACAACACUCUAACUUCUCUCUCUCUCUCUCUCUCUCUCUCUCUCUCUCUUGGAUAUAACCGCGCGCAAGACUCGGCUCUGCUCGGCUCGGCUCGGCUCGGCGCGGCAGGACAAGAAUGGGCAAAACGCUACUCUUGCUCCCGGGGGCUGCACGGGGAUGCUUAUGGUGGCCCGAGCAAAGUGAACCCAACCGAGCUUUGGAACACUGUGGUCUGCUCUGGCUCCUCUCUACUUUUCUCUCUGAUUCUCUCUGCUCUGAGUCUGCACGGUGACAGCGACAGACUGUCGGUAGGACGCCACGGGCAACGACAAAGCACAGCAGAGUUGAACAGAGCCGAACUUAACCGAGCAGCUAGCGAAAGAACCGAUCGUUGGGAUGGUGGAACGCGGACUAGAAGAACGAACGAAGCAGCUAGAGCUUGCACUUUCAGUGAUCAACAGGGUACAUUUGUAAUCUGAUUGUAUCGUCGACUCUCGAGCUUCCCAAUACGUCCUGAACAGAAAAAUGUUUUCUGUACUUCUCUAUACGUUCCGGUCUCAGCAUCAGGCCUUACCUCGGCAUUUCCUAAAUAUCCCCGACGAGGACCUAGAUCGGCGAGGGCAGCGAGCGUAGCUGGUCUACGAAAAGAAAUGACAGAUAUCAAAAGAAUGAUGCGAAGAUCGUAGGGAAAGGGUGAAGGAGGCCUCCGGACCUCUCAUUUUUACUUCCGGACGAGGUCGAGGCACCUCGUGCGGAAAAACCGACACGACGGGGUCAGACGGCCGGGUUCACUGACACGGAGAGAAUUUGCUUUUCCGCGGGGGUGGAAAGUCGCCGGGGAAGAGAUAGGGGCGGGGAUUUCGGAAGAGGGGGCGGCGGCGGAGAGGGAAGCUAUCGACGGGGUACAUGUACUUACACGCUAGCACGAAUUCGGCGCGAAGGAGAACUAACCGAAACGUUCCUGUAGCCGUGUAGAGACUGCCUCUCGGGCGCACAUGGCUGUCUUCUUCGUCGCUCCGUCGCUGCUUCUUUUUCUCUCUUUCCUUCUCUCUCUCUCUCUCUCUCUCUCUCUCUCCCUCCCUCUCUCUCUCCCUCGCCCAUAUGCGCGCGCGCGUACAUCGUCCUACGAACACACCGAUGUGCGCUCGCAGACGUCGCACCCCGUCCAUCUCUUCCUCUCUCUCUCUCUCUCUCUCUCUCUCUCGCUCUCUCUCUCUCUCCCUCCCUCACCCCCUUCAGCCGGUGGUCCGUCGCGUUCCAUCCGUCUCUGUUCGCACACAGCUCUACCCGUGCGAAAUUCACAGCCAGUGGCGUAACCAGUAGGGGAUCGCCGACCCCUUACAGUCUCGAUCUUGUACCCCUUCUACUGGUGAACAGCGUUGCCACUUGCCAAUGGCGUUGCCAGUUCGUUGCAACGAGUGGGAGGCAACCCGUUAACCACCCUCUCUCUUCUCCUCUCGGAGCAGCUUUAUCAAAGUAUUGGAAGAGGACUCCCAUAGCUGGCUACCGCGAUCCGGAGGAGACGGUGCAAAUUUUCCUGCGGUAGUUGGUCGCCAUUUGGAAUUGCGUAGGAUGACAUAUGAAAUGGCGGGACGUCGGUGGAGUAUGUAUCGAUACGGCGACGGGACCAGUUCCUUUCCACGAGGAUCUAGAAUGGAUGCUAGGUAUCCGCACGGCGGUGCGGAGCAGAGAGCGCGAGAUCUUGAAAAGUGCAACGGAUGAUAUCUUGUAGCCGGGCUGCAUAUAACGCGUUCCACCCGUGGUGGGGGUGGAGGCAGCGGAGGCCAGUUUUCUGGAACGUGCACCAGGUUCCGAUCGCAGUGUCCCAUUGCAUUGGCUCCACCGCUCUUGCUUGCUCCAGCUGCGACCAGAUAGGACGCGGAGAAAGACGUCAGGAAUCCUCCGGUCAAGAAAGUCAUUCGAGGGACCAUACUCUACCAAAACACGCGGGUAUUAAUCCAGAAGGUUCUUCGCAACAUCCCCCGGGAGUCUCCCCACUUGUCGAGAAGACGCAGACACUGAGGACGGAGAUGGAGGGGAACGAGAGGGCGAGGGAAACGGGCUAGGCGCGGGCAGGGGACUGUCGGGUAUGCACGUAUUACUGGUUGAAUGCACGCCGUUCCGUCAAUUUCCCCUGGAGGACUACCUUCUGGCUACCAGCUUGUUUGUAUGUGCGCGCGUGCAUGAACCCGACGCAUCUACCUUGGCUAGACCAGACGACCGAGAGACGAUGAGAAGCGCUCUGCGGCAACCUCAACCUAGCCUUCUUGCAGGGACCGUGGUCUUUGACCGAGCUCGCGAUAAAAUGCACGAGCACAGGAGCCCCGCGUUCGCGUUGUUGCGCUUCUUCUUAUAAAUCGACAGGCUUUUGCCAGAAGAAAUGGAGCGACGAACACCUGCUUGCCACCAUCGCGAUGCGUUCAACGACGACCAUUCCUAGAUCGAAGCGGAAGGAGACAGGGCUGCAUCGGAAAAAUUCGGAUUUGGCUUCGGACCAAUGAGAGGCCAGGUGGGCAACCGAUGAAAAACCGUGCCACGGGGAAAGGGCCACGCCUGUUGCCGUCCCGGGAACCUUAAUGGGGUCCCAUGAAGCGAACGGGGCCCCGGUGCAUCUGCAUCCGGGAAUUACGACGCACUCGUUCGCACAAUUGAAAACCGUCGAAUAUAUACAGCGAUUCUGUUUCCUCCGUUCCUGCUUGUUGCGAACGGUCGCAGUAUCAUCGAUUCGUCCUGAAACACGUGUCCUUUACGCCUUAACUUCUGCUAGAUGGCUGUCCAUUGUUUUCGGCUGUCCUGGGCGAAGGAUGAAAAUGCGCCGGCUGCGAAAGUGGCAGGGAUAAAGAGAACACCGAAGACAAAGAGAAACUGAAAAGGAGAAGAGAGAGAGAGAGAGAGAGAGA
This is a non-coding RNA of Megalopta genalis, 6870 nucleotides long. The record is from RefSeq and is a predicted model, not a curated record. NCBI's taxonomy places the organism in Eukaryota, Metazoa, Arthropoda, Insecta, Hymenoptera, Halictidae.